CACGGCUUUGAUUGUGUGUGUGUAUCAGUGUGUUUGAUCAGCAGAGGACGAGGACCUGAAGGAAGACUUGACGAUGACUCGUGUGAUCUUCCUCCUUCUUGUUGCAACUUGCACGCAAUGGACAUCAGCAACAGCAACAACAACAACAACAACAGGAACAACAACCGGAACAACUACCGACAUGCCAACAACUACAAAAAUGGAAAGUCCAACAACAACCACAACAGCAACAACAACUCCAACAACAUCGACAACUGACACUCCAGCAACAACAACAACAACUGACACUUCAACAACAACGCUGACAACUGACACUCCAGCGACAACACCAACACCUGACACGCCAACAACAACUGACACUCCAGUGACAACAACAAUGACAACUGACACUCCAACAGCAACAACUGAUACUCCAACAACCACAACAACAGCAACAACUGACACUCCAACAACAAUAACAACAUCGACAACUGACACUCCAGUGACAACAAAACCGACAACUGACACUCCAACAACGACAACUGACACUACAGUGACAUCAACACCGACAAUUGACACUCCAACAACAAUGACAACUGACACUCCAACAGAAACAACUGACACUCCAACGACAACAACACCAACAACUGACACUCCAACAACAAUAACACCAACUGACACUCCAGCAACAACAACAACACCGACGACUGACACUCCAGUGACAACAAAACCGACAACUGACACUCCAACAACAACAACUGACACUUCAACAACAACGCCAACAACUGACACUCCAACAACAGACACUCCAACAACAACAACAACUGACACUCCAGUGACAUCAACACCGACAAUUGACACUCCAACAACAAUGACAACUGACACUCCAACAGCAACAACUGACACUCCAAUAACGACAACAACACCAACAACUGAUACUCCAACAACCACAACAACACCAACAACUGAUAUUCCAACAACCACAACAACUGACACUCCAACAACAACAACAAUAACAACAGGUGACACUCCAGCAACAACAACAACAACAACAUUGACAACUGACACUUCAAUGAUAACAACAACAUCAACAACUGACACUCCAUCAACAACAUGGACAACUGAUAUUCCAACAACAACACCAACAACUGACACUCCAUCAACAACAACAUCGACAACUGACACUUCAAUGAUAACAACAACAUCAACAACUGACACUCCAUCAACAACAACAUGGACAGCUGAUAUUCCAACAACCACAACAACACCAACAACUGACACUCCAACAGCAACAACAACAGCUGACACUCCAGCAGCAACAGCAACACCAACAACUGACACUCCAACAACAACAACAACUGACAUUCCAGUGACAGCAACACCGACAACUGACACUCCAACAACAAUGACAACUGACACUCCAACAACAACAGCUGACACUUCAACAACAACGCUGAAAACUGACACUCCAGCGACAACACCAACAACUGACAAUCCAACAACAACAACAACUGACACUCCAGUGACAACAACACCGACAACUGACACUCCAACAACAAUGACAACUGACACUCCAACAGCCACAUCUGACACUCCAACAACGACAACAACACCAACAACUGAUACUCCAACAACCACAACAACACCAACAACUGGCACUUCAAUGAUAACGACAUCAACAACUGACACUCCAUCAACAACAUCGACAACUGGCACUUCAAUGAUAACACCAACAUCAACAACUGACACUCCAUCAACAACAACAUGGACAACUGAUACUCCGACAACCACAACAACACCAACAACUGACACUCCAACAGCAACAACAACAGCUGACACUUCAGCAGCAACAACAACAGCUGACACUCCAGCAACACCAGUAACUGACACUCCAACGACAACAGCAACAACUGACACUCCAACAACCACAACAACACCAACAACUGACAAUCCAACAGCAACAACAACAGCUGACACUCCAGCAACAACAACAACACCGACAACUGACACUUCAAUGAUAACAACAUCAACAACUGACACUCCAUCAACAACAACACCGACAACUGAUACUUCAAUGAUAACAGCAACAACAACAGCUGACACUCCAGCAGCAACAGCAACACCAACAACUGACACUCCAACAACAACAACAACUGACAUUCCAGUGACAGCAACACCGACAACUGACACUCCAACAACAAUGACAACUGACACUCCAACAACAACAGCUGACACUUCAACAACAACGCUGAAAACUGACACUCCAGCGACAACAACACCAACAACUGACAAUCCAACAACAAUGACAACUGACACUCCAACAGCCACAUCUGACACUCCAACAACGACAACAACACCAACAACUGAUACUCCAACAACCACAACAACAGCUGACACUUCAGCAGCAACAACAACAGCUGACACUCCAGCAACACCAGUAACUGACACUCCAACGACAACAGCAAUAACUGACACUCCAACGACAACAGCAACAACUGACACUCCAACAACCACAACAACACCAACAACUGACAAUCCAACAGCAACAACAACAGCUGACACUCCAGCAACAACAACAACACCGACAACUGACACUUCAAUGAUAACAACAUCAACAACUGACACUCCAUCAACAACAACACCGACAACUGAUACUUCAAUGAUAACAGCAACAACAACAGCUGACACUCCAGCAGCAACAGCAACACCAACAACUGACACUCCAACAACAACAACAACUGACAUUCCAGUGACAGCAACACCGACAACUGACACUCCAACAACAAUGACAACUGACACUCCAACAACAACAGCUGACACUUCAACAACAACGCUGAAAACUGACACUCCAGCGACAACAACACCAACAACUGACAAUCCAACAACAAUGACAACUGACACUCCAACAGCCACAUCUGACACUCCAACAACGACAACAACACCAACAACUGAUACUCCAACAACCACAACAACACCAACAACUGGCACUUCAAUGAUAAAAACAACAUCAACAACUGACACUCCAUCAACAACAACAUGGACAACUGAUACUCCGACAACCACAACAACACCAACAACUGACACUCCAACAGCAACAACAACAGCUGACAUUUCAGCAGCAACAACAACAGCUGACACUCCAGCAACACCAGUAACUGACACUCCAACGACAACAGCAAUAACUGACACUCCAACGACAACAGCAACAACUGACACUCCAACAACCACAACAACACCAACAACUGACAAUCCAACAGCAACAACAACAGCUGACACUCCAGCAACAACAACAACACCGACAACUGACACUUCAAUGAUAACAACAUCAACAACUGACACUCCAUCAACAACAACACCGACAACUGAUACUUCAAUGAUAACAACAACAUCAACAACUGACACUCCAUCAACAGCAACAUGGACAACUGAUACUCCAACAACCACAACAACUGACACUCCAACAGCAACAACAACAGCUGACACUCCAGCAGCAACAGCAACACCAACAACCACACCGACAACUGACACUCCAACAACAACAAUGCCGGCAACUGCCACUCCAACAACAACAACACCGACAACUGCCAUUCCAAAAACAACAUCAACAACUGACACUCCAAUGACAACACCAACAGCUGACACUCCAGAAACAACAACACUGACAACUGACUCUGCAACAGCAACAACAACUGACUCUCCAGCAACAGCAACAACACCGACAACUGACACUGCAACAACAGCAACAACAACAACACCGACAACUGACACUCCAGCAACAACAACAACACAGACAACUGACACUCCAACAAUAACAUCGACAACUGACACUUCAAUGAAAACAACAUCAACAACUGACACUCCAUCAACAACAACACCGACAACUGACACUUCAAUGAUAACAACAUCAACAACUGACACUCCAUCAACAACAACAACAUCAACAACUGACACUCCAACAGCAUCAACAGCAGCUGACACUCUAGCAGCAGCAACAACAACAUCAACAACUGACCCUGCAACAACAACACUGACAACUGACACUCCAACAAAAACAACGCCGACAACUGCCAUUCCAACAACACCGAUAACUGACACUCCAACAACAACAUCGAUAACUGACACUCCAACAACAACACCAACAACUGGCACUCCAACUACAACAACUGACACUCCAGCGACAACAACACCAAUCACAGACACUCCAACAACAAAAACACCAACAACUGACACUGCAAUAACAACAACACCUGACACUGUAACAAAAACACCGAUAACUGACACUGCAACAACAAGAACCGACAUUGCAGCGACAACUCCAACAACUGACACUCCAACAACAAAAACACCGACAACUGACACUCCAACGACAAUAACAUCGACAACUGACACUCAAACAACAACAACAACAACUGACACUCCUGCGUCAACAACACUGACAACUGACACUGCAACAACAAAAAUAACAACGACAACCGACACUCCAACAGCAACAACAACACUGACAACUGACUCUGCAACAGCAACAACAACUGACUCUCCAGCAACAGCAACAACACCGACAACUGACACUGCAACAACACCGACAACUGACACUCCAGCAACAACAACAACACCGACAACUGACACUCCAAUAAUAACAUUGACAACUGACACUCCAACAACAAAAAUAACAACAACUGACACUCCAGCGACAACAACAUCAACAACUGACACUGCAACAACAACAACACAGACACCUGACACAACAACAUCAAUAACUGAAACUCCAACUACAACAGACACAACAAACAACAUCCCAACGAGUUUGUCCGGAGUCCCAUCAGCCGUUAGCGUGACUCCGCCCUCACAGACCUACACUACUAGUGUAUCUGUCAGGGAAACCACCACCAGCAGGACUUUCCCACACACAGCUGCAGCUGGUCUGUUUCCACAGACAGACUUCAGUCCAGCAUCAGCAGGAACAACCAUCAUUGGUGUCCCCCCAGAAACAACAAGCCAAUCAGCAGCCAAUAAGCCUGAAACCACUUGCUCCUGCGCUGCAGAGACGUCUCCUCUGCUUGUCCUCUUGCUGCUGCUGUCUGUAGUUCAUCUGUAGUCUGUGACUCUUGUAUGUUCCCAGUGCACAGCUCAC
This is a long non-coding RNA of Gouania willdenowi (blunt-snouted clingfish), 5110 nucleotides long. The record is from Ensembl. NCBI's taxonomy places the organism in Eukaryota, Metazoa, Chordata, Actinopteri, Blenniiformes, Gobiesocidae.